Molecule: ribosomal RNA, 465 nt
Filed under: uncultured bacterium
Lineage: Bacteria
Description: partial 16S ribosomal RNA
Rfam family: Bacterial small subunit ribosomal RNA
Source: RNAcentral
CCUACGGGAGGCAGCAGUAGGGAAUCUUCCACAAUGGGCGAAAGCCUGAUGGAGCAACGCCGCGUGGGUGAAGAAGGUCUUCGGAUCGUAAAACCCUGUUGUUAGAGAAGAAAGUGCGUGAGAGUAACUGUUCACGUUUCGACGGUAUCUAACCAGAACGCCACGGCUAACUACGUGCCAGCAGCCGCGGUAAUACGUAGGUGGCAAGCGUUAUCCGGAUUUAUUGGGCGUAAAGGGAACGUAGGCGGUUGUUUAAGUCUGAUGUGAAAGCCUUCGGCUUAACCGGAGUAUUGCAUUGGAGACUGGGAGGCUUGAGUGCAGUAGAGGAGAGUGGAACUCGAUGUGUAGCGGUGAAAUGCGUAGAUAUAUGGAAGAACACCGGUUGCGAAGGCGGCUCUCUGGUCUGUAACUGACGCUGAGGUUCGAAAGCGUGGGUAGCAAACAGGAUUAGAUACCCCGGUAGUC